CAUCUUUUAUUUAGCAAUAGAUAAAAACCAUUAUUUUUAAAUGCCUUGUACUGCUGGAUCUCACGCGGCUGUCACGCUUAGUAUUUUGUGACAUCUGAGGAUGGUAUGCUCAAGAAGAUAACAAAUUACAUUCAAACUUCUCUCAGCUUGUCAAUGUGCAAAUUCAGCAGAAAGUGCCCCCAGAGGGUAACUAGCGCCUACCUGUUACAUACUCUUCGCUAGUUUCAAGUCCAUUCCAAGAACAAACUAUACUCUGGGAAGCCCAUCAGUUUCUACCAGAACAAAAUGAAUGAGCUGUAUGCAGUUCCUGUUACGUUAUAACAUACAAUAACAACGGUUCUCAUUCAUGAAGCAGAACAUCAGCAAUUUAUCUAUUUUUUAACCUCUUUUUGGCACACACACACAAAAAAGCAACAGUUUUGUUUAAAGCAUGCAUUUUCCAUUUGUACACUUAAUCCUUCAGCAUGCCUUAUGGAUGAUUUUAACUAAGGUUUAUUAGGAUUUCAGGAAGAGCUUCACUUAAUACAGAAAACACCUAUAUGCAGAACUGUCUAAGCUCCAAUGAAAAUGAAAAUUUCUUCUUUUAUACCUAGAUGUAUUUUCUACCUGAUUAUGUGCAAACAGUAUUUCAGCUCUGAAAGAUUUCCUCUCUUUUUUAGUUUUUAACACAGUAGGCCAUCAACACGCUAACUGCUACAGAAGUACAAGGAAAACUACUACUAUUCUCUGGGCUUUAAGCCUCAGUUUUCAUUUGUGUGGAAAAGGUUGCAAGGGCUACAGAAAGACAUCUUUGAAAAUACUGUCAAAACAUUAGCUCAAACAGAGUGAGUGGCAGAAGCUCACAGCCAGUUUAUCAGCUCAUAGUAAGAAACAGGAUGAAUAGGAACAAGAAACAAUAAACCGGAGUAAAAAUACGAUGAAAAUAACAAUAUGUACAUAUUUAAUGUUUAUCUUUGCGUAGUAUAUUUAGAGUUCUGCUCCACUGUUAAAUGAAGGGCUGAUUCAAGACUGCUAGUAUUCAAGAACUAUCAUGCUCACUGAAUCCAUUUAUUCUUUUUCUUCAGAUGAACACCUGUGUAAGUGUCAUAGGAUUUAAGGUCACUUUGCACGAUUGAAAAUGGUCUAAAUUAAACUUACCAGGUACUCACUCAGUGCUGAUCAUCUCAACUGGUUUCCACAUAAGGAGACCAUUACUUUACUAUUUAUAUUAUUCUUCACUACAUAAGCAUCCAAACAAGACACUUCAGUCAAGUUUCGGAAUUAAUGGCUGUGAAAGCUGCAGAGGUAGUUACUACUUAUAAUAAGUUAUUUGGGUGGUUGGUUUUUUUUGUUUGUUUGUUUUGUUUCUUUCUUAAAGUUGGUUUAACCCAAACAGCUUGGAAAGAUGAAGACUAAAGUGACAUGCUGAGGUAAUCUCUUCUAUUUGAAGUGAUGGCUGUUUUAAAGUCUACCUUCUGGUCAAGUUUAUCAGAACCAAUAAAGCUCCUUCAACCUAUGAAGUCUGUGAUGAACUUAGAGUAGGAACUGACUAGUGGGAUUACAGAAGAUUUACUGGCGAGCAAAGGAUAAAACCUUCACAAAAAUACAGAGCAAGAUAGUUGCUCUGGCUAGAUUUAAAAAAAAAAAAAAAAGAAUAAAAAGGAAUGCCUAGUUUCCAAAAAUAAAGGCAAAUCUUUUGUAACAAAGAUUUAACUUACAAUACCGUUCCCUCCUUCAAGAAUCCAGGAGACAUCAGUAUUCUGAAAAUAACACCUAAAAUUUCUAGAGGUGCAAUCCAAGUAGAAAGUAAUUUUAAGAACCGAAAAUAUUACUGACCAAGUGCUACACUAGAGUUGCCCUGAGUUUUGAGUUGGGAAGAAGUUUGCAUGCCUUGUGGGGUGUUGGUUCUGCUCUCAUCCAUGCCUAGAGACAGAUCCUUCCUAGGGACUUUAGUUGCUGUUGCAUCAUCAGUCAUGCCCAUUUGCUUCUGUCUUCUGCGUUUUUUACUCCACAGCUCAUGGCAAUCCUGCCACAAAGGAAGGCUGCAAAGAACAAUUAGAGAUUAUCAGUUUUGUCCCACAUUUUUAAAAAAUGUUUUUUAACCACAGUGGUAAAAUAUUCAAAUUACGCAUAACACAGCAUUUGUAAAGAUGAACCUGCUGGGAUUUAGAAAUACAUCAGGAAACAUUCUAAGCCAGAUAUGCUUUCCUGGGUAAAAUCUUUUUCAAUUGCCUAUUUCACAAAAGCAGGUCUCUCUGGCAGAGAAUAGGAAUGUGUAUCUUACUGUGAGAAUCAAUGUCACUUUAUUACUUGUAGAAGCACUGCCUCUGUGCAGUUACAUUUGUUCAUAGUAACAGACAUGGCUAUCCAGUAUUAGUAGCCAUACAGCACAGGCAACCAAGAAAGGGAAAAAAAAAAAUGUUGCAGGAAUAAACAGUUCUCAACAGUAACAAAUUUAGGUUGCUAUGAAAAACACAGGAUACCUCCAGUUCUUUAAGACAGAUAAAAGCAGAGGAAAAAUAUCUUCUACAGAACUCAUCUGACAUUAGUUCAGUCUUCACAUUACUAUUCCUCCCUACAGGCAUCCCAAUUCAGAUCUCUUGAGGAACAUGGAAUCCCAUCCCAUACGUUAUGGAAAUACUGUGAUAUAGCAUUAAAACAGGUCCUUCCGUUUUCCAUUUACGUAUUAGUAGUAACUGUUUGAGCAGUUCUCUCAACCAGGAACAUGAAAAAAAAAUGAGCUGACAGAUAAGAAUCACUGGAAAGGAAAUUUUGACAGUUGCUUUCUACAUUCUCUUCCUCCACAGAACAGCAGGUCAAAAGACCUGUCAGGUAUUCAGUCAACAACCACUUGGAUCAAUCAAGAAACUACAAGAAUUAUCCUACAGUACUUGCAAUCAGCAAUGAGCAGCUGUUUCUUCCAAGUGAGGAACCUUAUUCUUUCUUGAGAAGAGUCAUCAUUUUCAUUUCACUACAACAAAUGUUGGUGUCAAUUUCAAAAGGAUACCAAAGGACUGUUUGUUUGUUUUUUAAUUUUCUUACAUCAGUUUCUAGAACAGAUGCACUACCAAGGCCCUGAAAAGAAGAAACAUUUUCUUCGUAUUCACUUACUUCAAAAUGUGUUAGCAACAAGGUUCUGAGAUUUUAACGAACAGCUUAAUAUUUAAUAGUGCUGUUUUGUAAUAUUCAGAUGAUAGAAAGAGACUCAGUCUUAGGCAUCAAGAUCAUUACUACCUUCCAUAUGUAACAGGUAAGUCUUGAAAGAUUUUUAAUGAAAUUCUUAGGUAAAGCUCAAGUAUUUUUUCCAGUUGGUAACUAAUUAAAAAGAAGUCAGCACAGGCUGCCUUGAAGGUACAAUGUAUUCAAACUAUUAAAUGUUCUGUCAUUAGGCAGCUAUCUCUAGGGAAAAGUUAAAUCUGCAGACUCUGUACAUGUUUUUCAUUGUUUUACUCAGGGCUCGUUCCAAUACUAUUUGUACUGCCUCAAGUGAGAAUCAAGUCACUGUAAAAAAAACUACUGAACACUGCAAUACAUUUCUAUUCAGAGGAGAGAAAAAAAACAAAUAAAAACCCACACAAAAUAUUUCACUUCGGGGAAACCAGGCAUCUCAUUUGGCACAGUAAAUCAUGUAUGGUAUGUUACUUUUACUCUCAGAUACCUUUGAAGGAUUAUGUGCCCAAUGUCAUUCUGCCAUUGUGUGGGAACUGUAAGAUCACUGCCUGAACCAGUGAUUGAACACCUGCUGAAGAAGCAUGGCUAGCCCUGGGAGCACAGGUGGAAGCAAAACCCGGGGUCCACCCCUCCCUAACCUCAUUUAGGGGCUGGCAGCUGAGAGGAAAACACCUCUAUUCAGAUAUUGCUUCCUUCUGGGGGUUUACAUCAAGCUCUGGCCUUCAGAAUCGGGUAAACUAUUCUUUUCCUAUUAUUGGCUUUUGACUGAUGCAUUUCAUGGGUCAUCCUAAGACUUGUCAGAAGCAAUUUCAUACCUCUUUGCCUGAAAAAACCAUCAAAGAAGGUAAAUUCAGGUUCAUGAGGGGCCCCAAAACCCUUGGAAAACAUGGACGCCAAUAAACAGAUACAUUCUUUUUUUUUAAAUGAAGGCAAUAGUCACUAAUUCCAGGAGCAUCAAUUCAAAUUCAUCUCAGAUCCUCACAGCCACUGAUACCAUGACAUAAGAGCCACUAAGCUGCAUUUCAGUGCAGAAUCACCAACUUUACAUAUUGACAAUUUUCUUCUACAGCAAGAUACUUUAAUUGAAACACAAUGAGCUUAAUGAAGUCCAUACGUGUUACUGUUUUGUAGGUGUAAAGAAUAUUACUAAUGGAAAUAACUUACUCUGGGGGAGGCAUCUUAGAUGGUUCCACAUCUCGCAGAAACUCACACUGAAGAGCUUGUUCAGCUGUACAGCGCUUGCUGGGAUCCAGAGCAAGCAUGUAAUCAAACAAAUCUAAUGCAGCUGGUGGGAUGCUGCAAAAGAACACAAUGGAAAAAAGCAUCAACUGUUUUUUGAAUCACAUACUUCAGUGCAAAGUUUUAGUAAGAACACCUCUCUAGAAUAACUGAACAUCUAAAAUGAAGCCAGGACUUACUUUUAAGAGGCAAAUAACAAAGUUCACCGACCACUGUAAACGCAAGUGCAUUUUUCUUUUUUUUUUUUUUCUUUUUUUUCAGCAGAGGUGGAGGUGACUGUGGGCAGUUGUGUUUCUUUAUGUGGCUGACUUGCUUGAAAUACUGUUCUUACCAAAAAAAAAAAAAAAAAUUCCAACACACUUGAAGCCAAGACUACAGUGUUACUUGACACCUUGGAAUUUAGUGCACAGAGAGGUGCAAUUUUGUAUGGACCAGUCAAAAAACUCUACUGCUUUAGGAAAGCCUUGUUAGUUCAAACAGGAUGAUAACAUUUAUUCUAAACCCUGAAGCAGAUGAAGGGAGGGAACAAUCCCUUUAAAUUGAAUCUACAGCUGCUUUCCGUAACUUUCAUGUGUGAUAUUUGCACAAAAAUGGUACAUAGUAUUUUAGAAUACAUGGUUCAGAUAACUCUUGUGUUGAAUGAAUUUAUGACCCAAAAGACUGUAACAUUAACCAGACUUCAUAUUUAGCUGUAACCAGUUGUCCUAAUAAAAAAUAAUUAAGUACUCCAAGCUGUUUUUUGUACAGGGAAAGCAAGCAGGUGUACCAAUCAUGGAAAACAAAUGUCUCCUUAGGUGAAAGCUGACAGGUGGCUGAAAUUUUAGGGCCUUCUUUCUCCCUUCUUGAAAUUUUAUUAAAUAAGGGUUAAUAGAAGCUCUGCGGGAAUUUUCUAAGAAUCUAAAGCCAUUUUUCUUUACACAACUGUUUUCUGGAAACUGGCUGAACAUACAUCAAGUUCAUAAAGAUGCCAGCAACACUUAAUGCUGUUACAAUUGAGUAAACUAAUCCUUUGUCCUUACAAUGCAAACUCUUCUCUCAGUUUUCGACGAUACUGCUUCUUUGGUUUCAUCGUGUUGAAAUAAGCUAAUUUUAUAACAUCAGGCCACACUGCUGGACAAGGACUCCCACAAAUUCGACUGUACAAAAAGAGGGGAAAAGAAAGGUAUGAGAUCCAAAAGCACAAGUGUGCACAGCUGUCGUUUUAUUCUUAGAAGUACAGUACAUACAAAACUCAUUUUCUAAUCUUAACAUUCAGUUUCAUUUAGCUAAAAUUUCUCUACAGUAUAAGGCCUAACACCAUUAAGGAAUGGUUAAUUAUCUAGGAAAGAUAACUACCCUUCACAGACUAAACGUCAUAAAAUCCACUAUUGCCCCAACCACUCUAAAGCAUCUUCUGCACAAAAGGUUACAUUCUGAAAGUCAGCUAUGUCUGGACACCAUUCCAUGUAUUCAAUCUGGAGAACUGGAUAUCCCAGAUCUAGGAUGCUGGGCUCUUAGCUCCUAAUUUCAGUGAAGAAAGAAAUACCAAAUGCCUGAAGAAGUACUGACUUGAAGACUAACAAGAAUUUAGUUGACACAGAAUAUGCUUUUGGAGGAAAAACAAACAAACAAACAAAAAAACCCACCACAACCAACCAUUUAAGUCCGAAGGGUAGAUACAAGCUUUUAGUAGCUCAAUCUUGUUUAUUUUUAUCUUUACUUUUUCACUUCAGUUAUUAGUCUUCUGUGUUGGGCCUAAUCUAUCUCCAUAUAUGGAAUUGUCCUUAGCCUCACUCCUCCCACUCUGUCUAUGCCUGUUUUGUCCCAUCAAGGAUGGUAGCAUAGCCUACCACGACGCUUCUCAGCAGAAGAAUGGGAGUGGCAAUUUACCAUGCAAUGUUUAAGACCUCUGAUGAAGGCAGUCAUAAAAGAACAACUUGCUAAGGAAAUAUAGUUCCCUAGUUCAUCCUUUUCCACUUAUUUGAUUUGAAUUGCUUGUGCAAGAAACCUAAGGAUUAAUUAUGUCCCUAAUGCUACACAAUCAAAUCUGACCAUGUUUGGGCUACGUUACUUUCAGGAAAAAAAUUAAUUCUAUCUUUUUCUAACAGAAUUUACUUCAGUUCUAUCUUUGAGCAUUAAAGUUAGAAAGAAUAAAAUGUAGAACUGUUGACUGCAACAUGACAGUUAGAGAGACUGUGUAUAAAAUUAUAAAAUAAAACUGAUAUAUUAUACUUAAACAGCCUCCAAAUGCAUAGUACUGAAUAAAAUGGAGAGGAAAAAUAGCUACAAGCAGCUAGCUGCCAGCAUUCUUCCAGCAGAAAGAAAUCUCAAAAACUGGAUUUGCUGUGCUAGGAGGUAAAAUUUCUGAUGACUGCACUCUCACUGCCAUCUAGUGGACAAAAGCAAAGAUUUCCAAAAUCAAGAAAGCCCUUCUACAAAGAAUGAUCACUGGAAGAGGGCCUCUCCUCACUUAUGAGGUCACCUAUGAUAUCAGAAUCAAGAGCAAUUUCUGCUUGCAAAAUAAAGGGGAAAACAAGAUGCACUGGCUCCAUGGAGUUAUAUACAUCCCAUCCUAAAAUUUACUGAGAUAAUGAAGGAAACAAAAUAUUCACCUCCAUAAAGUGUCUGGCAGUUUGUAAGGGAAGAGAAAUAUAUGAAAAUAUUAAAGCCUAGGUGCACAUGUGGGAAAACUCAAUGCAAGAUCUUAAGGCAAGUAGCAUACAAAGCACCUACUCCUCCCAAACCUGCUGUCCUUACUGACCAUGUUUUCUUUUGAUUUGCUGUAAGGAAUUUAUGAUGCCAUCUUAAAAAGCAAUUACAUUCCUUUAUAACUUCAGUAAUAGGAAAAGCUCCAGCUGCAUUUUGAAACACUUCUCCACAUUCAAGCAUAAGACACUUAUUCUACGUGCCCCUGAUAACCACUAAUAUCUCACUCAGGGUGAUAAUCAAGUACUUGUAAAUGUUAGUAGUUAGUACCUUUGUUUUUAACUUAAAAAAAAAAAAAAAAAAAAAGGCAGUUUAUCAGGCACAUACCACAUUGUAGUGCCUGCUAGUUACCUUAUAAGUUCCAGCUGAGCAAGUUCUUGAUUUGCUUGAAAAAUGGGCUUUUUUGUAAAAAGUUCACCCAGGAUGCAGCUGUAAAACAGUUUUAUACAAUUUCAUCAUUAUGGCUUCCAGUUCAGACUGACAGAAAUAUUUACUGCUGGCUUGUUGUUAUGCUUGCUACACUUCUGUACGAAACUCUUACCCACAGCUCCAGACAUCGAUAGCUGGCGUGUAUCUUUCUUCUCCAAGCAGAAGUUCAGGAGGCCGAUACCAUAAUGUAAUAACUUUGUUGGUAUAUGGUCGGCUGUUGGGGGAGCAAAAAAAGAGGACUAUCAUUUGGCUACAAUCUCAUUUCUGAAAAAAAGAUAUUUUGAGGGGUUUAAUUCUACAGUGUUAUUUAAGGACAGUGUUGUCUUCCUUUUUUUCAGUUCUACAAAGCUGCAACUGCACAAAAGCAACACAACCAUCUGACCAAGGCUAUUGAAGAACAGUCUGAAGCAAGACCUCAGAGAUACACAAAUAAUCACCUAGCCAUCUUGGUGCUAUGUGAAUCCUGUAUUACAAAUAAUUAAACAGCAAUACUGUUCAUUUAUUACACUGCUAGCCAUUUCAAGAAAAAGAUCUGCUUUGGUAAAAAAAAGUAAUUUCUUGACAACUGUUAAUUAUUAGAAUAUUGAACAUAGGAUCUCUACAAACAUUUUGAAAAGGAGAAAAACUGUCACUCUCCUCUCUGGAAAGAAAAGAACAAAGCCUCUCUCUCAAACUACUAUGUCCUUCAACAACUUUGAAUCCUAAGUCUGGACCAUUUCUAAUAUAUUCCUUUAUUUCAACAUAAUUAAUUCUUUACAGCUCUGACCAGAAGUUCUGGUCAUUGUGAAUAAUCCUUCCUGUCUUCACACUAACGCAAGGAUUCCACUAUCUUAGACAUGCAUUUUCUGUGGACUGGCCAAGAUACAGCAUCAACAGUUCAGAAUGGGAGUCAUAGCAGAUGUUCGGGUUGGGCUGUUUUCUACUUAGUUUUUGUGUUGCUUUUAAAGAGGGGGAUGGACAGACAGGACAACAGUAGGGUGGUUCUUAAAAGUGAUGAAAAGAAUCCUUCUAGUUUUAAGAUCUCAAGUUUACCAAUACUAGGUAACUCCAAAGAGAAAGCAAAGUAGCAUUAACUGCAGUGUUUUUACAAGCUCUUGCAACAUGCUUAGUACUGCAGGUAUUAUUUCUGCAAAACUGUCCCAGCUUUUUUCAUAAAGUCUCCUAUUUUUGUUUUAUUAAAGUUAAUAUAGCAUGGUUUUUUUUUUUUGGAAGCAGUUCCAUCAUAUAUUUAUCUCUGAAGCAAACAUCCAUCUUCAAAAUGUUUACAUGAUAUGGACUUCCUCUACAGAUAAGCCACUCACAUAUAUGUAUUAAUAUACUGUCCUUUUUGUUUGAACAGCUGUUUUCUUACACAAUCUGUCGUAUCUCUACUCUAAACAUAUUAAAGCCUCCAAAAUAACAUCUAAAGAAGAAACUAGAAUAACUGAUAAGAAUUCAGUUACAAUUUUAUUUCCUCUCCAUUAUGCCCCUACUAAACUCUGUAACCUUGUGAAAAGUGUGUCAUUCCAACGACAGUAAAACAAAAGUAAAAUACACAAA
Long non-coding RNA from Gallus gallus (chicken), 9042 nucleotides. RefSeq lists it as uncharacterized. The transcript is spliced from 2 exons. NCBI's taxonomy places the organism in Eukaryota, Metazoa, Chordata, Aves, Galliformes, Phasianidae. The record is from RefSeq and is a predicted model, not a curated record.